Molecule: ribosomal RNA, 425 nt
Filed under: uncultured bacterium
Lineage: Bacteria
Description: bacterial SSU rRNA
Rfam family: Bacterial small subunit ribosomal RNA
Source: RNAcentral
UCGAGAAUCUUCCGCAAUGGGCGAAAGCCUGACGGAGCGACACCGCGUGCAGGAUGAAGGCCUUCGGGUUGUAAACUGCUGUCAGGUUCUAGGAAUGACAUGGUGUAAAUAGCGCCAUGUUUGACCAAGACCAAAGGAAGCAACGGCUAACUCUGUGCCAGCAGCCGCGGUAAGACAGAGGUUGCAAGCGUUGUUCGGAAUUACUGGGCAUAAAGCGCACGUAGGCGGUCCGCUAAGUCAUGUGUGAAAUCCCCCGGCUCAACCGGGGAAUGGCGCCUGAUACUGGCGGACUCGAGAUCGGUAGGGGUGAGUGGAACUCCAGGUGGAGCGGUGAAAUGCGUAGAUAUCUGGAGGAACACCGGUGGCGAAAGCGACUCACUGGACCGACACUGACGCUGAGGUGCGAAAGCUAGGGUAGCAAACGG